RNAcentral lists this transfer RNA (72 nucleotides) under Yoda sp. d ASH-2021. RNAcentral describes it as "tRNA-Pro". The record is from RNAcentral. Lineage: Eukaryota; Metazoa; Hemichordata; Enteropneusta; Torquaratoridae.
AAGGGGGUGUUAAAUAAGGAAGUGAGGUUUGUAGUUGUUUACUGGGCUGUUUUUCAUAUCCUGGGAAAGCAA